CUAAUAUAACCCUCAAAAUGGAUCUUUACAAAGAGUUCGUCAUGCAGCAUGUCUAAUAGCAUAAUGUCCCCAAUGGAAAGCUGCACAAACAUAUUGAGCUGUUCAGGGAUUGAAGACCGCUGCAUUACAGCAAAAGUUGAGAAUCUGAAAAGGGAAGAAGAAGAUUAAAGGAUUUUUGAUGAUCAGUCAAAGGUUGUCAAAGGCUGUGUCUCUAGAUCCUUUUGUGAUGGCGCAAAUGUAAUUAAUAUUGACGACAUCUCAUGUUGUGAGGGGAACCUGUGUAACGGUGAUCAGAG
This is a long non-coding RNA of Megalobrama amblycephala (Wuchang bream), 296 nucleotides long. RefSeq lists it as uncharacterized. NCBI's taxonomy places the organism in Eukaryota, Metazoa, Chordata, Actinopteri, Cypriniformes, Xenocyprididae. The record is from RefSeq and is a predicted model, not a curated record. The transcript is spliced from 3 exons.